This 203-nucleotide ribosomal RNA is filed under the name uncultured bacterium. RNAcentral describes it as "partial 16S ribosomal RNA". It matches the Rfam family "Bacterial small subunit ribosomal RNA", at positions 524 to 723 of the family's 1533-position model. The record is from RNAcentral.
UACAGAGGGUGCGAGCGUUGUUCGGAAUUACUGAGCGUAAAGCGCGCGCAGGCGGCCUUUUAACGUCUGGCGGUGAAAUGCCGGGGCUCAACCCCGUUGCAGGCCGCGGAUACUGGGAGGCUGGAGACGAGUAGAGGCAGGCGGAAUUCCGGGUGUAGCGGUGGAAUGCGUAGAGAUCCGGAAGAACACCGGAGGCGAAGGCG